GGCUCAGAUUGAACGCUGGCGGCAGGCCUAACACAUGCAAGUCGAGCGGAUGACGGGAGCUUGCUCCUUGAUUCAGCGGCGGACGGGUGAGUAAUGCCUAGGAAUCUGCCUGGUAGUGGGGGACAACGUUUCGAAAGGAACGCUAAUACCGCAUACGUCCUACGGGAGAAAGCAGGGGACCUUCGGGCCUUGCGCUAUCAGAUGAGCCUAGGUCGGAUUAGCUAGUUGGUGAGGUAAUGGCUCACCAAGGCGACGAUCCGUAACUGGUCUGAGAGGAUGAUCAGUCACACUGGAACUGAGACACGGUCCAGACUCCUACGGGAGGCAGCAGUGGGGAAUAUUGGACAAUGGGCGAAAGCCUGAUCCAGCCAUGCCGCGUGUGUGAAGAAGG
RNAcentral lists this ribosomal RNA (391 nucleotides) under uncultured bacterium. RNAcentral describes it as "bacterial SSU rRNA". It matches the Rfam family "Bacterial small subunit ribosomal RNA", at positions 21 to 414 of the family's 1533-position model. The record is from RNAcentral.